CGAGCGGACAGAUGGGAGCUUGCUCCCUGAUGUUAGCGGCGGACGGGUGAGUAACACGUGGGUAACCUGCCUGUAAGACUGGGAUAACUCCGGGAAACCGGGGCUAAUACCGGAUGGUUGUUUGAACCGCAUGGUUCAAACAUAAAAGGUGGCUUCGGCUACCACUUACAGAUGGACCCGCGGCGCAUUAGCUAGUUGGUGAGGUAACGGCUCACCAAGGCAACGAUGCGUAGCCGACCUGAGAGGGUGAUCGGCCACACUGGGACUGAGACACGGCCCAGACUCCUACGGGAGGCAGCAGUAGGGAAUCUUCCGCAAUGGACGAAAGUCUGACGGAGCAACGCCGCGUGAGUGAUGAAGGUUUUCGGAUCGUAAAGCUCUGUUGUUAGGGAAGAACAAGUACCGUUCGAAUAGGGCGGUACCUUGACGGUACCUAACCAGAAAGCCACGGCUAACUACGUGCCAGCAGCCGCGGUAAUACGUAGGUGGCAAGCGUUGUCCGGAAUUAUUGGGCGUAAAGGGCUCGCAGGCGGUUUCUUAAGUCUGAUGUGAAAGCCCCCGGCUCAACCGGGGAGGGUCAUUGGAAACUGGGGAACUUGAGUGCAGAAGAGGAGAGUGGAAUUCCACGUGUAGCGGUGAAAUGCGUAGAGAUGUGGAGGAACACCAGUGGCGAAGGCGACUCUCUGGUCUGUAACUGACGCUGAGGAGCGAAAGCGUGGGGAGCGAACAGGAUUAGAUACCCUGGUAGUCCACGCCGUAAACGAUGAGUGCUAAGUGUU
RNAcentral lists this ribosomal RNA (779 nucleotides) under Bacillus sp. SRA4. RNAcentral's name for it is "bacterial SSU rRNA". It matches the Rfam family "Bacterial small subunit ribosomal RNA", at positions 63 to 824 of the family's 1533-position model. The record is from RNAcentral. Lineage: Bacteria; Bacillati; Bacillota; Bacilli; Caryophanales; Bacillaceae.